UACAGAGGUCUCAAGCGUUGUUCGGAUUCAUUGGGCGUAAAGGGUGUGUAGGCGGCGCGGUAAGUCGGAUGUGAAAUCUCGGAGCUUAACUCCGAAACUGCAUUCGAUACUGCCGUGCUUGAGGACUGGAGAGGAGACUGUAAUUUACGGUGUAGCGGUGAAAUGCGUAGAUAUCGUAAGGAAGACCAGUGGCGAAGGCGGGUCUCUGGACAGUUCCUGACGCUGAGGCACGAAGGCCAGGGGAGCAAACGGG
This 253-nucleotide ribosomal RNA is filed under the name uncultured bacterium. RNAcentral describes it as "partial 16S ribosomal RNA". It matches the Rfam family "Bacterial small subunit ribosomal RNA", at positions 524 to 776 of the family's 1533-position model. The record is from RNAcentral.